RNAcentral lists this small RNA (25 nucleotides) under Plasmodium falciparum 3D7. RNAcentral's name for it is "Pfa-mtR5745". Lineage: Eukaryota; Apicomplexa; Aconoidasida; Haemosporida; Plasmodiidae. The record is from RNAcentral.
CGAAUAAAGCUGUGAGGAAACUACA